This is a long non-coding RNA of Amphiprion ocellaris (clown anemonefish), 5051 nucleotides long. Lineage: Eukaryota; Metazoa; Chordata; Actinopteri; Pomacentridae. The record is from Ensembl.
UAACGGAUCCAAACAAGGGUUUCCUUUAAUGAUCAUUUGUCUUGUAAAGAAUAUAAUACAGUGACAGGACUGGAAUUCAUAAGAACAUACAUCAAUAAAUAUGGAUAAAUAUUUGUGGACCGCAUUCACACAGCUUUACACGAGCUCAGCUGCUGUUAUUUUGUGCCUCUUCGAAGUCAGCUUGAACACACAAGACACAACUCGCUGCGAACUGGAGUGCUGUGCAGAAGAACACAGUCAAAGAGGUGAUGUUUGUCUGUAUGGUAAAGCAUCACCUCGCUUCCAGCUCUCCUGCAGCGUGUUGACCGAAGCAAGUGUCUCGGUUUUUCUGAUGCAGCAGUUCAAAAACAGUGUUAGCAGGAGGAACAGAAAGAACGAGGGGGUUUUGGCUCUACAGAGGCUGUGUGAAUAUGGCCCAGAGAGGCUAAGCAACAAACACACCCAGAGUUUAAAUGGAUUAAAAAAAAACUAAAAUAGAAAAACUGUCGUGUUUGUAUCACAGGAGAGGGGAAAAAAGGGAGUGUUUGUCAUCGGUUUCAGCUCUGUCAUUUCUUCAUUCUCCCACAGUAACACAUUUCCAUUCAUCCAUCCAUCCCAGCAGAAUACAACCGUUUUCCUGACAAUGAUAAAUUGUCUCAACUCAGCAUCAGACAGAGAAUAUUAUACAAAUACUGCUAGGGGGAUGCCUGCACGGUGAAGAAGUGAUGCAGCAGGAGAAGAUAAAGUUUUAAAAAGUCUAAUGAGAUGCAGAUAGGAAGAAGAAGAAAGGAAGCAGGGGAUGUAAAUGAUAAUCUGAGUAUUUACACGGCAGAGUACACAACCUAAGUGUUCACAUGGGCCCAGAGGAGGAGUGCUGUGAACUAUGACAGUCUGUUUUCCUAUCAUUUAGCAGUCGGUCGAUGCUAUUGUGCCGUCAAUGCCAUCGACAGACUUAAUAAGGACUCCAAGACAGACGACCUAAUCAUGAAAUCAAUCGUCUGUCUGUGUGUGAGUGAGGAAGGACAGCAGCCUCCACUGCUCUUAUCAGGCUGUCAUUACUGACGAGUGUCGGCUUUUAAUGCAUCGAGUCGACGGAGAGCUGCAACAGUUCGUACAAGGAGGACAGAUUCUCAAUUUUCAGGAGACCCAAAACAGGAAAUCUGCAAUCUUGCACAUGCACCCGAAUUGGUCACCUGCGAUUUGUUUCACUGAAUGGAUAUGAAGCUGCCAAAGUGAAGUCCUAAAACAAACUUUCGGCUCCUCUGUCCUCCUGGUAACGCAUCGAGCUGUUGUUGAUGCUGGGCUAAGUCAUCCCACCAACCAAGAAGAGCCAUCGUUCAUCUUCACAACCUUAACAAUUCAUACUGCACCUGUCAAGCUUCGGAUUCCUCAAUCUUUUCACAGAGUGCAAAGAUCUUUAAUGACAAUCAAACUUUGCAUUUAAAGUCCCUCUCCGGCUGUUGAGUUAACCCCUAAAAACUCGUGUCUGUGCAUCAAAGUUGCAAUUUUUUCCAAUGAAAAUAUUUCCUUCCUUCCUUGAAAUGGCUCUAUGUAGUUCCCUGCCUCAUCCAGCUCCAAAAACACUGCAAAACUACACAAUGCUGCAAGUUGUUGGACCUAGAAAUCAAUUCUGAAGAAGAAUAAUGGUACAGAAAGCCUCAUGGCACAAGUAGUCAAGAUUAGUUCUUUAGAUUUGUUACAUAUGAAAUCCAGGAAGUCUAAAUCUGGGUUUUUGAGACUCUCAUUGGUUCACUGCAGUUUCAAUGUGGAAAUGCUUUAUGUGCUUAUGGUAUGACUGCCAGGAACCAAAAAAACUCUCAUUUUGACACGGUAACCACGUAAAAAAAAAAAAAAAAGUUGAUUUUCGAAGGGUUUGUAGUCUUUCAGUGUUAAAUCCAAGGCCAGUAGCAUACAUUAUUAUCUGUUGUUAAAGGUACACUAAAAAACACUUUCCUCACUUCCUGUUCCUGGAUGCUGUGUCGGAAUAUUAGCAGUUCUGUCCUGCUAUAAUGGAUUAGGAAAACCUGAAGUUGUCACAACAACAGCAUUUCCAAACACUCAUUUUAUUUACUGCAAUUUCAUGCUUAAAUAUUAGAUUUUAGCAUGAAAUUAAGAAUAUAUUGGUGUUUAGGAAUGCUGCUGCACUCAUGUCUGUCGCGCUGUGUCAACCAGACACCUGCUUCCAGCUCAUAUUUCAUCUCUGCUGAACUCAGCUGUGAGUGAGAUGAACGACUGGGUGACGAUUACAAAAAGGUGGCUCAGCCUGAGAGGAGACCUGCUGGCUGUGAAGAUGUUCAAUGGUUUGCCCCGCUGCUCUGCCCUCAGGCGCCCUGCUCGCUACUGAGCCAGGAGGAAGGUGGCAGGAGCCUCCGUUAACUCACUCAUCUUCAUAAUUAAGACUCGCAAUUAUAAGGCUUUGUCACUGUCUGUUUGCCUGCCCUCAGGGCUCCGGCUAGAAAGCCUAACGAGGAAAAAGGGGAGAGGAGUGGAGGAGAUUAAAAGAGGUGGGAGUCAAAAAGCGAUAAGAGAGGCAGACACGGUUUGAAGUUUCAAGCAGAAAAAAAUAUAAAGAAUGUGUGUAUUUGACUGCAUUGAGAGAGUGUUUUUGCAGAGAAAGGCCUUUAAAAGUCCGGUCAAGUCCCAGAGGAUGUGGCAAAAGCUGACUGUUCACUUACAGAGACAAAACACACACAGCUCAGCUCAAACCAAACAGAGCUUUUUAUGUGCUGUCUAUUUUACUUUAGGAUUCUCAAACUUUUAACUAAAAGACAGAUCAUUAUCAAUAGGAAAUCCACUCGUACCAACUCGUUAGGGAUUAAAAAUGUGCAUAAAUUUGUGGCAUUUAUGUUGGAAGCCUAAUCAUCUCUGCAGAGGAGAGCUGCAGAAGUCAUUUUAAAAUCUCAACACAGUCUGAUUCAUUAGUUUCAUCACUAAUCUUAUUACAUUUUAUCCAAGCUUUCUCAGUUUUCGCAGUUUCCACUCCCUUAUCACCUUUUCAUGCUCUGUUAUAGUCCUGGCACACCUGAACCUUUACACAACUGUAAUUACACUGUCUCUGGGCGUCAACUCUGAUUUGAUUUACUGUGAGAGCAGCUCCUGUCUGCCCUUUCAUUCAUCCACCUGUGGUCAAUCCAUUUUCCAGGAAAAGGCAGAAAAGAAAAAACUAAGAGAAGCUUGUGUCAGUUUGACAUCUAUGGAGCGACAGGGUUUGACGGCUGUCUGGGCCUCCCGUCCGUCACCUUACACCUUCCCCUGGCUGUCCGUCAACCCCUCCCCUUGUCAUCACGGCUCUGUGCUUCGGCAGAUAAUGCCACUUGUUAAUUAGGCAUGCGGUAGAUUAAUUAAACUGAUACCGAGGUGCAGGUUCACUAUUCUUCUCUGUGCACAGGAGUGUUGUCAUUGCCAAGGUGAGAAGAGACAAACAAAGGCAGGGAAUUAAUGUGCACGGGAUGGAUUUUCUUACUUCAUGUGACUUUAAACAACCCGAUCCCGCUUUCUCUGUUCUAAGAUCGGCUGCUGAAAAACCCUGAGUGUACUCUUUCCCCAAUAAAGAGCAGGUUAAACUGCAUUUUGAUGUGCUUAUCAUCCACUUGCUUUCUAUUGUGAAAAAGGAAAGAAUGUUGAGUGAAGAAAACGGAUGAAAGCGCAGAGGUGGUGAAAAAGCAUCACAAGGUGGAGACACAUAAAGGAUAGAAAUGACGGAGUCAGUGGUUGGAGCGUAAUCCCAGAAGCUCCGACCUCAAGUGCCGGCUUUAAAAAACAGCAAUUUAACCCGGCAGUAAAGGGGGAAAGAGAAGAGAGCAAAGCACUUGUUCUAUCCGUCUCAAUCCCCUCUUUAAAGCAGGACACGCAGGAGCAGUGAGCUCAGGUGUGAACAGCUGUGAGACUGUCUGCCCCAGAAAUGGCGAGCCUUAAUCUCCGCUGACCUUUUCUAUCAUCGUCCGCUUGGGCCUCAGCCACUGUCAGUGUCCUCAGUCAUGAGCACACAUGCUGAGAUGAACCAGAGCUCAGUGUCUCCUCUGCCUCAUAUUCAUCCAGAUACCCUGUUUGCACAGCUGAUUCAUGGUUUCACAGAGAGCCGAUCACCAUCACAUAUCCAACACAUUCUGCUGCAGACGGAGCAGUGUAAAUGACAAAAAUGCCCAUCUUAAGCCCUCUGAUUAAUACGGUUAUGCUGACAAUGGGUCAAAUGAUUAAAUGUCAUGUAAAAGGGGAUGGUUGUGGUGACAAACCCACCAAAAACAUCAGUGUGCAGUUUUCCACAUGGCAACUUCGCUUUUUGAUUCAGUCUCAUCGGCCGUGGUGAACAGCUGUUUUCAGCAAAAAACGUCUCAUAAAGUUAGCAAAUGUACAUUUACAAGGUGGCCGACACAAGAAACACAACUCCAACUAAUGCUAUUGUCGGUCCAUAUGUGCUGGUUGUCUAAAUAAGUGACUGUUUGCCAUAAGGUGAUAAUAUGUCAAUGCUGGGUUCCCAGCCGGUUCUGCUGAUCUCAGUUUAUACAAAAAUUCAGUGAAUGCAUGUUUCAUUAUUAACAUCUUGCUGGUUUGAAAAACUAUUGGGGAGACAAUAGAUCACGAGAUUUAGCCUGGAUGCACCAAACUACUUUGGGAAAGUUUGUGCAACUACACACUUGAUUUGUGCGGUAGAUUUAAGGCGAGACACUACAGGAAAAUUUGAGAUUUUGGGAUAUUUUGCUUCCAUGACAUGUCUUCUUUCAGAGUUAUGGAAAGAACAUGCACAUGUAGGUGAAUUUUCUGCAAAUUAGCACAUUUUAAGAAAGAAUAACUCAUUUCCAUAUUAAAACUUUAAAUGUCAGGAAUCUUGUAAAAGGAAAAACAACCACCUUAACAUAAUCAGCUGGGGAACUUUUGGGUGAACUGUUUGCCAGUAAAUGCAUUUUUUUUUUCUCAAAUUCUGAGCCUGAAAUCUCUUAGUUCUAUAGCACUUAUAAACACCCACAUCGGAGGGUUUCUGCAGAGGAGUUUGUUCUUAUAUCAUACACAGCCUGAUUUGAACUCCAUUAACAUGGCAACAAUUGAUUUUUCACCGUUGCUGUUGAAAGUAUUUU